UUCUAUUUUCCAUGCUCACAUUGCCUUUUCCUUCAUCUCUUACAAUGUUAUACCAAAUUAAGAUGUUUUGGUAUAUAAAGCGGUUGUAGAAAGAAGAACUAAGGGCUAAAAAGUAUGCGUCAGUGUACUUGCUGUCCGUUGAUGGAACCCCAAGGUAGUUGCUGUCAACUUCCCCUGCCACAUUAAGUAAUAUUCACCGUUGAGUACAAGGAACAGCUAAAACUGAGCUAAUUUUUUUCUCCUGCAAAUUGUACAUUUUAUCAUAGAACCAUCUCCAUCAAAUACACAGUAAGUCAAGUCAUCCUCCCAGAUGAUUGGCGCACAAGUCAUAGCCCAAGUUUCAUGAAACCGAAUUUCAGAAAAAAGAAAUGCAUUAGACCACUAGUGAUGAGCAUUCUUAUCAAUUUGCUGAUGAAUUCCAGAACAAGUGUGUCCUAGAAAGAAAUUAAAUAACAAGAUGGAAAAGGAUAUGGUGUAAACAAAAAGGAAAGGAGAGAUCCAUUCAGGAUAUCUCAUCAAAUCAGAAAAAGUUUGAACUUAAACGUCAAAUUAACAACCCCCCUCCCCAAAAAAAAAAAAAAACCCCCGAACCCGGAAAAAUUUUAAAAGAGGCAAAAAAAUCGCAUUAGAUUCAUUGUAACUGAUAAUGGACCAUUUUAUGCAACUUUUUCAUCAAUUUAUUGUGCUUGUGACCAGGAAAACUUGGCUUUGUUCAAGCAUUAAGUCCUAAAAUAAGUUAAGAAGAUUUAAUCAAGACACUAGUCAUGUUCUACCAAAAAUGGAAAUGAAAUUAGUCAAAAAGGCAGUUUCACUCUGACUAACCGGCAGAGUAUAGGAUAUAUAAUUACAGGGCCAGUUUUAUAAAGCAUCAUUCAGAAUUAGUUUAACAAUUUUCCAGUCUAUAUACAUUAUGUCUCGAUGCUACAACGUCAGAACCAUCAAAUAUAAAACUGUGCAGUUUGUCAUUCUUCUCUGUUGGGUGGUGAGUUAGAAUCUGGAUAGUAUCUAAUCAAGCCUCGUAGACAAGCCUCUCCAUGCAAUAAUCACAUAGUAAAAUGUGCUUUGAGAUAGAACUUAAUUUCUACGCUAAUGUUAACAUGCUAUUCCUUUGUGGUGUGAAAGCAUUUCUAAAUAAUUAGCCAAUGCUGACUAAUUUUCAUAGAUUGCACCCAAAGACAACCAUGGUUUCAUAAAAUUAAAGAGACACCUGUCAGAAGGGCUACUAUAAACCACACAUAUAUGACAAUAACUUGAAAUUUAUACAUUGAAGUACCUUUGAACAGCUGCAAAAAAUGAAUGAGUUACAUAAGACGCCCAACAUAAUGAGCUCGAUGAUAUUUUGAUUUUAGUUG
Molecule: long non-coding RNA, 1352 nt
Filed under: Coffea arabica (coffee)
Lineage: Eukaryota; Viridiplantae; Streptophyta; Magnoliopsida; Gentianales; Rubiaceae
Description: long non-coding RNA (CARA_LNC004196)
Source: RNAcentral